This 198-nucleotide unclassified non-coding RNA is filed under the name uncultured Ceratobasidiaceae. RNAcentral describes it as "sequence contains ITS1". Lineage: Eukaryota; Fungi; Basidiomycota; Agaricomycetes; Cantharellales; Ceratobasidiaceae. The record is from RNAcentral.
UCGAAAUGAACACGGAGUUCGGUUGUAGCUGGCCUGCAAAGGCAUGUGCACGCCUUUCUCUUUCGUCCACACACCCCUGUGCACUUGUGAGACGGAGGCUUGUCGUUCCCCUUUCAAUAGGGGGAUUGGGUUUCCGUCUGCCUUCAUACAAACACAUUUAUUUAAUUGGAAUGUAAUUGAUGUAACGCGUCUAUAUAC